GAUGAACGCUGGCGGCGUGCCUAAUACAUGCAAGUCGAGCGAACGGACGAGAAGCUUGCUUCUUUGAUGUUAGCGGCGGACGGGUGAGUAACACGUGGAUACCCUACCUAUAAGACUGGGAUAACUUCGGGAAACCGGAGCUAAUACCGGAUAAUAUUUUGCACCGCAUGGUGCAAUAGUGAAAGACGGUCUUGCUGUCACUUAUAGAUGGAUCCGCGCUGCAUUAGCUGGUUGGUAAGGUAACGGCUUACCAAGGCAACGAUGCAUAGCCGACCUGAGAGGGUGAUCGGCCACACUGGAACUGAAACACGGUCAAGACGCCUAAGGGAGGCAGCAGUAGGGAAUCUGCCGCAAUGGGCGAAAGCAUGACGGAGCAACGCCGCGUGAGUGAUGAAGGUCUUCGGAUCGUAAAACUCUGUUAUUAGGGAAGAACAUAUGUGUAAGUAACUGUGCACAGCUUGACGGUACCUAAUCAGAAAGCCACGGCUAACUACGUG
RNAcentral lists this ribosomal RNA (497 nucleotides) under uncultured bacterium. RNAcentral describes it as "partial 16S ribosomal RNA". It matches the Rfam family "Bacterial small subunit ribosomal RNA", at positions 28 to 507 of the family's 1533-position model. The record is from RNAcentral.